AUUGAACGCUGGCGGCAUGCCUUACACAUGCAAGUCGAACGGCAGCACGGGUGCUUGCACCUGGUGGCGAGUGGCGAACGGGUGAGUAAUACAUCGGAACGUACCUUAUCGUGGGGGAUAACGCAGCGAAAGUUGCGCUAAUACCGCAUACGCCCUGAGGGGGAAAGCGGGGGACCGUAAGGCCUCGCGCGAUUAGAGCGGCCGAUGUCUGAUUAGCUUGUUGGUGAGGUAAAGGCUCACCAAGGCGACGAUCAGUAGCUGGUCUGAGAGGACGAUCAGCCACACUGGGACUGAGACACGGCCCAGACUCCUACGGGAGGCAGCAGUGGGGAAUUUUGGACAAUGGGCGCAAGCCUGAUCCAGCAAUGCCGCGUGUGCGAAGAAGGCCUUCGGGUUGUAAGGCACUUUUGUCAGGAAAGAAAACCAUUGGGUUAAUACCCUGGUGGGAUGACGGUACCUGAAGAAUAAGCACCGGCUAACUACGUGCCAGCAGCCGCCUAAG
RNAcentral lists this ribosomal RNA (502 nucleotides) under uncultured bacterium. RNAcentral describes it as "partial 16S ribosomal RNA". It matches the Rfam family "Bacterial small subunit ribosomal RNA", at positions 30 to 523 of the family's 1533-position model. The record is from RNAcentral.